GAUGAAGAACGUAGCGAAAUGCGAUAAGUAAUGUGAAUUGCAGAAUUCAUUGAAUCAUCGAGUCUUUGAACGCACAUUGCGCCCCCUGGUAUUCCGGGGGGCAUGCCUGUCCGAGCGUCAUUGCUGCCCUCAAGCACGGCUUGUGUGUUGGGCUCCGCCCCCCUCCCGGGGGGCGGGCCCGAAAGGCAGCGGCGGCACCGCGUCCGGUCCUCGAGCGUAUGGGGCUUUGUCACCCGCUCUGUAGGCCCGGCCGGCGCCCGCCGGCGACCCCAAUCAAUCUUUCCAGGUUGACCUCGGAUCAGGUAGGGAUACCCGCUGAACUUAAGCAUAUCAAUAAGCGGAGGA
RNAcentral lists this unclassified non-coding RNA (345 nucleotides) under soil metagenome. RNAcentral's name for it is "partial contains 5.8S ribosomal RNA, internal transcribed spacer 2, and large subunit ribosomal RNA". The stretch from base 1 to 120 matches the Rfam family "5.8S ribosomal RNA", at positions 35 to 154 of the family's 154-position model. The record is from RNAcentral.